CCUACGGGAGGCAGCAGUGGGGAAUAUUGCACAAUGGGGGAAACCCUGAUGCAGCGACGCCGCGUGAGUGAAGAAGUAAUUCGUUACGUAAAGCUCUAUCAGCAGGGAAGAAACACUGAUCUUACGGUCAGUAGACGGUACCUGAGUACGAAGCCCCGGCUAACUACGUGCCAGCAGCCGAGGUAAUACGUAGGGGGCAAGCGUUAUCAGGAUUUACUGGGCGUAAAGGGAGCGUAGACGGUGAGGCAAGUGUGGAGUGAAAUGCCGCAGCUUAACUGCGGAACUGCUUUGGAAACUGGCGAACUAGAGUGCGGGAGGGGUAAGCGGAAUUCCUAGUGUAGCGGUGAAAUGCGUAGAUAUUAGGAGGAACACCGGUGGCGAAGGCGGCUUACUGGACCGUAACUGACGUUGAGGCUCGAAAGCGUGGGGAGCAAACAGGAUUAGAUACCCUUGUAGUC
Molecule: ribosomal RNA, 458 nt
Filed under: uncultured bacterium
Lineage: Bacteria
Description: partial 16S ribosomal RNA
Rfam family: Bacterial small subunit ribosomal RNA
Source: RNAcentral